This 953-nucleotide ribosomal RNA is filed under the name uncultured Methanobrevibacter sp. RNAcentral describes it as "bacterial SSU rRNA". It matches the Rfam family "Archaeal small subunit ribosomal RNA", at positions 44 to 999 of the family's 1478-position model. Lineage: Archaea; Methanobacteriati; Methanobacteriota; Methanobacteria; Methanobacteriales; Methanobacteriaceae. The record is from RNAcentral.
UUAAGCCAUGCGAGUCGAACGAGUUUAGGCUCGUGGCGUACGGCUCAGUAACACGUGGAUAACCUACCCUUAGGACCGGGAUAACCUUGGGAAACUGAGGAUAAUACUGGAUAGGCAAUUAUUCCUGCAAUGGUUUUUUGUUUAAAUGUUUUUUCGCCUAAGGAUGGGUCUGCGGCCGAUUAGGUAGUUGGUUAGGUAAUGGCUUACCAAGCCGUUGAUCGGUACGGGUUGUGAGAGCAAGAGCCCGGAGAUAGAACCUGAGACAAGGUUCCAGGCCCUACGGGGUGCAGCAGGCGCGAAACCUCCGCAAUGUGAGAAAUCGCGACGGGGGGAUCCCAAGUGCCAUUCUUAACGGGAUGGCUUUUCAUUAGUGUAAAAAGCUUUUGGAAUAAGAGCUGGGCAAGACCGGUGCCAGCCGCCGCGGUAACACCGGCAGCUCUAGUGGUAGCAAUUUUUAUUGGGCCUAAAGCGUCCGUAGCCGGUUUAAUAAGUCUCUGGUGAAAUCCUGUAGCUUAACUGUGGGAAUUGCUGGAGAUACUAUUAGACUUGAGACCGGGAGAGGUUAGAGGUACUCCCAGGGUAGAGGUGAAAUUCUGUAAUCCUGGGAGGACCGCCUGUUGCGAAGGCGUCUAACUGGAACGGUUCUGACGGUGAGGGACGAAAGUUAGGGGCGCGAACCGGAUUAGAUACCCGGGUAGUCCUAACUGUAAACGAUGCGGACUUGGUGUUGGGGUGGCUUUGAGCUGCUCCAGUGCCGAAGGGAAGCUGUUAAGUCCGCCGCCUGGGAAGUACGGUCGCAAGACUGAAACUUAAAGGAAUUGGCGGGGGAGCACCACAACGCGUGGAGCCUGCGGUUUAAUUGGAUUCAACGCCGGACAUCUCACCAGAGGCGACAGCUGUAUGAUAGCCAGGUUGAUGACUUUGCUUGACUAGCUGAGAGGUGGUGCAUGGCC